This 460-nucleotide ribosomal RNA is filed under the name uncultured bacterium. RNAcentral describes it as "partial 16S ribosomal RNA". It matches the Rfam family "Bacterial small subunit ribosomal RNA", at positions 338 to 795 of the family's 1533-position model. The record is from RNAcentral.
CCUACGGGAGGCUGCAGUGAGGAAUAUUGGUCAAUGGACGAGAGUCUGAACCAGCAAAGUAGCGUGAAUGAUGACUGCCCUAUGGGUUGUAAGCUUCUUUUAUAUGGGCAUAAAAUGUUCCACGUGUGGGAUUUUGUAUGUCUCAUAUGAUUCAGGAACGGCUAACUCCGUGCCAGCAGCCGCGGUAAUACGGAGGUUCUGAGCGUUAUCCGGAUUUAUUGGGUUUAAAGGGAGCGUAGGUGGAUUGUUAGGUCAGUUGUGAAAGUUUGCGGCUCAACCGUAAAAUUGCAUUUGAAACUGGCAGUCUAGAGUACAGUAGAGGUGAGUGGAAUUCGUGGUGUAGCGGUGAAAUGCGUAGAGAUCAGGAAGAACUCCAAUGGCGAAGGCAGUUCACUGGACUGUAACUGACACUGAGGCUCGAAAGUGUGGGGAUCAAACAGGAUUAGAUACCCCUGUAGUC